UUGGCUUGUUUGUUGGGUCAAUCGAUCGGUAUAGGUAGUCAAAGAGAAGGCCAUUUGACUGAGAACCUUUCCAAAAAAGAAAAUAAAAUAAUAGGGCUUAUUUCACUCAAUCAAGUGAACAUAACAUGACACUGCACUAGGUCUCUAUGUCACACCAAUGUGAUUGUUGAUCUCUCCAUCUAGAUGAGACAAAAGAAGAAGCGGAGAGAACAAUUUUUGUGUGUUCAGAUCAUGCAUGGCAUACUGGUACAUGCAUGUUGAUUUGCAUACAACUACUCCUCAAGUGAACACAAUUCACCCUCUAUAUAUUUCGUGUAAUCUCUCCACCUUUGUAUCAUAUAUUGAACUAUUGGCAAAAGAGAAAAUAAUUAUAUAGAUAAAAAGAAGUGCAAAAAGUCCUCGGACGAAGGUAUGUCUGAGAUACUGGAGGUAACCAAUAGGUUAAUUCUUACAUUAUGCGCAAGAAGUGCCUUUCUCAUUGUGGUACUUAAUAAAGAAACGAUAUGGUAUUUGGGAACACAAACACCAUGAGUUUUGCACCAGAGCAACGACGAGGAGGAAAAGAUCUAAUGAAGAAACUAACAUGAAGAAAUUAACUAAGGAUGAUAGCGUGUUCAGUUCCUAGCAUUGCGUUGUUCUUUCCUUUUUCGAUUUGGUCUGUUCACGACGAUGUGAACAACUGAGGUCUAUUUUUUGCGGGGGAAAGAAGAUUGCAACAUCAUUCACACCCCUCUAAGCCAAAUGAUUGUGCUGGACACACUCUCGCUUUCAGCUUUCAUCAGCUCUUGAUUGUCUUAGAAGCGUAAAUUUGGGUACCACAAUGGGCCAUGCUUUUCUCCAAAGGAUCAUUGUGAAACUGAAAGAUAUGUCGCAUAAUAUGCUUACAAAAAAAUCAUAUUUGAUCCUUUUCGGCUCGUUAGAUCCAGAAAAGUUCAAGAAAAUAAAAUGAAACAAUCCUGGAUUAAAUGGAGACCUUUACAAAAAUACAAAAUAUAUAUUUGGAAACCUUAAAAUGUUCUGAAAAAGUUAUACAUGUUUGAUGUGUACUAUGUUAGAAGAAAAGGUUUGGGCUGGCAGCACGUCGGAUCCCAAAGAAGUCUGAGCGACUGUGAUUGUAGUGACUGCAGAGAAAGAAAAUAGCAAAACAAUUAUGAACUGUUGUAACCUUUUUGUCCUUUGAGGCCAUAAUAUUUGUCUUUUUAGCCUAUGUAUCCGAUGUAUUAUUUGAUAAAAAUAUGGGUAUGUAGAAAACUACAUGCAUGCAAUGGUAUUAAGUAGUAAAUAUACAUUAAUUUUUUUCAUUUUCUCCUCCACCUUGAUCAUGGUCCAUAACAUGCCUCUUUCAAUCAAAAUGUGCUUACAUGAAGUGCUAAGCACAUUAAAAAGUUUAGCAACUAAAGCCCUAGUGCGUUGAUGCUUAACUUGUUGUUGCUAAGCAUCCUUUAUUUAAUGAUUU
This 1456-nucleotide long non-coding RNA is filed under the name Hordeum vulgare. Its description in RNAcentral is "long non-coding RNA (HVUL_LNC008702)". The record is from RNAcentral. Lineage: Eukaryota; Viridiplantae; Streptophyta; Magnoliopsida; Poales; Poaceae.